ACGGGACCUCGAAGGGAGGCCGGGGGCGAAAGAGAMUCAGCCGUGCCUGGAAAGGGCCGCCGCUGUUCUCUCGGGUCGCUUCGGCGGCUCGGGAGUUCCGCGCGCGGAUCCCCGGUACACUCGGCGCACUUCCGUCCCCCGGCCGCGUCGCGACCGGUGGGGCGCGGUUUUCGAGGGGCUCGGCUGCCGCCGUUUCGUUAGGGGUUCUCCGCGGUUCUGAACCCGGAGUGAAUCCCGGCGGGAUGUAACGGAGCCGGUCCCGAGAGACCGCCGCGCUCGACCGGAGAGAAAGWGAAGGACGACCGUCGCCGGCGGGUCGGCCCACGCGGGAGGGUACGCUAUUCGCCCUCCCCCGGGUCGCCCGUCGGAGUCGGCGCAUUCGCGGCGAGUAGGUCGGCAUCCCGUCCGACCCGUCUUGAAACACGGACCAAGGAGUUGGACGCGCGCGCGAGUCCAAGGGUCUCGAAACCCGCGGGCGCAUCGAGAGAGAGAGUCGCGAUCCCCCGCGCGCAGAACGCGGGGGCGCAGCGACGCCCCGCCGACCCAGUCCUCGCGCC
RNAcentral lists this ribosomal RNA (557 nucleotides) under Anapistula choojaiae. RNAcentral describes it as "partial large subunit ribosomal RNA". Lineage: Eukaryota; Metazoa; Arthropoda; Arachnida; Araneae; Symphytognathidae. The record is from RNAcentral.